GGGCUCACACAAGCGGUGGAGGAUGUGGCUUAAUUCGAGGCUACGCGAAGAACCUUAUCCUGGUCUUGACAUGAUUCGUUCAGACGGUGAAAGUCGUUGUUCCGCAAGGAAGAGAAUCACAGGUGCUGCAUGGCUGUCGUCAGCUCGUGUCGUGAGAUGUCGGGUUAAGUCCCUUAACGAGCGAAACCCUUGUCGUUAGUUGCCAGCAUUGAGUUGGGUACUCUAACGAGACUGCCGGUGUUAAACCGGAGGAAGGUGGGGAUGACGUCAAGUCCUCAUGGCCUUUAUGAUCAGGGCUGCACACGUCCUACAAUGCAACAUACAGAGCGUCGCGACCCUGCGAGGGGAAGCCAAUCGCCAAAAGUGUUGCCCAGUUCGGAUUGCAGGCUGCAACUCGCCCUGCAUGAAGCCGGAAUCGCUAGUAAUCGCGGGUCAGCAUACCG
RNAcentral lists this ribosomal RNA (443 nucleotides) under uncultured Planctomycetota bacterium. RNAcentral's name for it is "bacterial SSU rRNA". It matches the Rfam family "Bacterial small subunit ribosomal RNA", at positions 917 to 1359 of the family's 1533-position model. The record is from RNAcentral. Lineage: Bacteria; Pseudomonadati; Planctomycetota.